AGAGUUUGAUCCUGGCUCAGGAUGAACGCUGGCGGCGUGCUUAACACAUGCAAGUCGAACGGAGAUAUCAUUUUCGAAGCGAUUAGUUUACUAAGAGUGGAGAUGUUGGUAUCUUAGUGGCGGACGGGUGAGUAACGCGUGGGUAACCUGCCUUACACUGGGGGAUAACACUUAGAAAUAGGUGCUAAUACCGCAUAACAGGGAAAGAUGCAUGUCUUUUACCUUAAAAACUCCGGUGGUGUAAGAUGGACCCGCGUCUGAUUAGCUUGUUGGCGGGGUAACGGCCCACCAAGGCGACGAUCAGUAGCCGGCCUGAGAGGGUGAACGGCCACAUUGGGACUGAGACACGGCCCAAACUCCUACGGGAGGCAGCAGGUGGGGAAUAUUGCACAAUGGGGGAAACCCUGAUGCAGCGACGCCGCGUGAAGGAAGAAGUAUCUCGGUAUGUAAACUUCUAUCAGCAGGGAAGAAAAUGACGGUACCUGACUAAGAAGCUCCGGCUAAAUACGUG
Molecule: ribosomal RNA, 511 nt
Filed under: uncultured Eubacteriales bacterium
Lineage: Bacteria; Bacillati; Bacillota; Clostridia; Eubacteriales
Description: bacterial SSU rRNA
Rfam family: Bacterial small subunit ribosomal RNA
Source: RNAcentral